GACCACAGAGAGCAUCCAGCCCAUGAGGGCCCCUUCCCCCUUCUCCCACCUCCAGCGUCCCCAGAGGAGAUUGCACAACCUGUUGGCCCACACAGACGAACAAGCAGGGUGAGCCCGGCCAACCACAUUUCUGAAGUCAGGAGCCCUGGACUUCAAGGUGUACCGUCUGGUGACUCUGUCUUCCUACAGAAGCCCCAGGACUUGAUGGGGUGUGUUUAAACUCUCCCCAUCCCUGACGCCUCCCCUCUUCCCACCUCAAACUCAAGGCGGUUGCUCCCAGCUUUCUGAGCACCUGGCCUGCCUGCCCGAGCACACCUGAAGACCCUGGUCCUGGCAGCCCUGUCCAUUGCUAGCUGCUAGGGCGGCCACUGCCCACAGUUCCUUGCUGCCUGGGUUUGUAGGGCUGGUGGCUAAGCCACUGGAGGGAGGGUCUGUUUUCCUCUCUGCGUCCACCUGGGCCUAGUUCUGCAGGUAGGACUGGCUAGUCCAGAGGAGAGAUUUAUGGUGUAAUGAAAAAGUUGAAGCCUGAUUCUGCACCUCUGUCCUGGUCAUGUUUGACGGGCAGGACUCUAGAUAUGCCCCCACCCCUGCCAAGCCAAGAUUCCUGUUCCCUGAUUUUCAAUCAUAUGCUGAACUGGGUCCUAAUGUGAGGGGAUUUUGAAGAGAUAACUCAAGUCCCUGGGUAAUCCCCCAGGUGGCCUGGCCUGAAUAAGGGAACCCUUUAUAGAGUUUUCUCUGGCUGGAAGCAGAGAGGGGGGACUCCGUGAGAUUUGUUGAGUCGAGGGAGGGGGCUCUGUAUGAAGGCGGCAAGAGGUGGUGACAGGGGAGAUCACCUGGGGCCUACAGUCAGUGA
This 853-nucleotide long non-coding RNA is filed under the name Marmota monax (woodchuck). The record is from RNAcentral. Lineage: Eukaryota; Metazoa; Chordata; Mammalia; Rodentia; Sciuridae.